This is a transfer RNA of Clostridium pasteurianum, 74 nucleotides long. It matches the Rfam family "tRNA". From Rfam's summary of the family: Transfer RNA (tRNA) molecules are approximately 80 nucleotides in length. Lineage: Bacteria; Bacillati; Bacillota; Clostridia; Eubacteriales; Clostridiaceae. The record is from Rfam.
GGCCUGGUAGCUCAGCUGGUUAGAGUGCUGGCCUGUCACGCCAGAGGUCGAGGGUUCGAUCCCCUUCCAGGUCG